AUGGAGCCAAUUUGGGGCUGGGGUGGGUUGAGGCAGCGCCUCGCCGCUGGGUUUUGUCCCCGUGGUGGUGGUUGCGGGGGUUGUUUCAGUUUUGAUGGCGAGUUUUGGGGGGUUGUUGUCUUGUCUGAGGCUGGGGAGGUUUGGGGUGCUGGGGAGGGUGCCCCCGGAGGGGCUGGGGGCAGCAGAGCAGGAGCUGGGGGCAAUGUGUCCUCGCCUCCCCGACCACCAGCAGCCUCCAGCUUUGCCCAGGAUGAGGAAGAGGAGGGUCGGAGCUGCCCCUCACUGCCCCCUGCAUGCCUGGGGGGCAUCGAUGUCCCCCCAAGGCCGGGCUGGCUCCUGGGGUACCCACACCAACAGCGAGGCGCGGGGACGGGUGUCCCCCCCGGGAUGGCUGUGCCAGGAUGGGUGACACCCCGCAGGCACCACGGGGAGGAGAAGGGUGCUCAGGGGGGGCCGUGCUUCGGCCUCGGGGCUUGGCAGAGGAUGGGGGGUGCUGGGGGGGGCCGGUGGCUGCACGCCAGGCUCGGUGGCUCAGGCAGAAGUGAAAACGGAGCAGCUCCAGCGCGCGGCUUCCUCUUGCUCAGCCCCUGCCAAGGUUUGGUUAUCUCCUCCAAGGAUGUUUCCCAACUUCUCGGCGCCUCGGGGCUGAGUGGGGAAGAUAACCCAGCUGCAGCAGCCCCGGUCCUGCCUUCUGUUCUCCCCAAAAAACCCCUUCCUCUCCCUCCGGAGCCUCUGCGUCCGAGCAGGGGGAGCAGGGGACGAGCGCAGCCCCGAAUUUUGGGGCAUCUCCCUGCACAGCUCUGGCUGGGACGUGAGCAGGGGAGCAGCGAGGCUGCCAGCCCGGCCGCUGCGGGAAGGAGACGUAAGCUGCUGACGGGUGCAGCCGCGGCCGAAAGCCGAGUUUCUUUCUUGAGAGCUUCCGCUCCCCGCUCCGACGGCUCGGCAGCGGAGCCCUGCCCGGCAGAGCUGGGGCUGAGCAUGAAAAAUGAGCCCAGUGAGGAGAAGGGAGGGAGAAGCAGGCAGCUUCCCAGGCCUCAGAGCAUCCAAACCCACCACCAAAAAAAAAAAAGAAAAAAAAAAGAAAAAAAAAAGGCAUUGCUGUUUCCUUACAGCACAUUUCAGCAGGAAAUCGAUGCCUCGCGCCCCUGCCUCCUGCCCCGGAGCACUGUCAGCCCCAUGCAGCACAUUUUUCUGCUCCAGAUCUUUUGCAAUCCAGCAGCACGGCCCCCGUCCAUCGCUUUUAUUUGGUGUUCGUGGUGCGGCUCCGUCCCCCUGGGGGCUGUCAGGUCUCCUCUGGGCUCAGGGCGAGGUUUUUGGGGUGAAGCUGCACUGGGGUGCGCUGGGGGGCACCAAGCGAGGCUCACGCCCGGGUGCUGGUGA
Molecule: long non-coding RNA, 1380 nt
Filed under: Anas platyrhynchos platyrhynchos (common mallard)
Lineage: Eukaryota; Metazoa; Chordata; Aves; Anseriformes; Anatidae
Description: lncRNA (ENSAPLG00000018040.1)
Source: RNAcentral